Molecule: ribosomal RNA, 497 nt
Filed under: uncultured bacterium
Lineage: Bacteria
Description: partial 16S ribosomal RNA
Rfam family: Bacterial small subunit ribosomal RNA
Source: RNAcentral
GACGAACGCUGGCGGCGUGCCUAAUACAUGCAAGUUGAGCGCUGAAGGUUGGUACUUGUACCAACUGGAUGAGUAGCGAACGGGUGAGUAACGCGUGGGGAAUCUGCCUUUGAGCGGGGGACAACAUUUGGAAACGAAUGCUAAUACCGCAUAAAAACUUUAAACACAAGUUUUAAGUUUGAAAGAUGCAAUUGCAUCACUCAAAGAUGAUCCCGCGUUGUAUUAGCUAGUUGGUGAGGUAAAGGCUCACCAAGGCGAUGAUACAUAGCCGACCUGAGAGGGUGAUCGGCCACAUUGGGACUGAGACACGGCCCAAACUCCUACGGGAGGCAGCAGUAGGGAAUCUUCGGCAAUAGACGAAAGUCUGACCGAGCAACGCCGCGUGAGUGAAGAAGGUUUUCGGAUCGUAAAACUCUGUUGGUAGAGAAGAACGUUGGUGAGAGUGGAAAGCUCAUCAAGUGACGGUAACUACCCAGAAAGGGACGGCUAACUACGUG